GGCCCCGCACAAGCGGUGGAGCAUGUGGUUUAAUUCGACGCAACGCGAAGAACCUUACCUGGUCUUGACAUCCUGCGAACUUUCUAGAGAUAGAUUGGUGCCUUCGGGAACGCAGUGACAGGUGCUGCAUGGCUGUCGUCAGCUCGUGUCGUGAGAUGUUGGGUUAAGUCCCGUAACGAGCGCAACCCUUGUCCUUAUUUGCCAUCAUUUAGUUGGGCACUCUAGGGAGACUGCCGGUGACAAACCGGAGGAAGUGGGGACGACGUCAAGUCAUCAUGGCCCUUACGACCAGGGCUACACACGUGCUACAAUGGGGCGUACAAAGGGUUGCAAUCCCGCGAGGGGGAGCC
This 350-nucleotide ribosomal RNA is filed under the name uncultured bacterium. RNAcentral's name for it is "bacterial SSU rRNA". It matches the Rfam family "Bacterial small subunit ribosomal RNA", at positions 917 to 1269 of the family's 1533-position model. The record is from RNAcentral.